RNAcentral lists this long non-coding RNA (507 nucleotides) under Prunus dulcis (almond). Its description in RNAcentral is "sRNA ncRNA". Lineage: Eukaryota; Viridiplantae; Streptophyta; Magnoliopsida; Rosales; Rosaceae. The record is from RNAcentral.
AUGAGUAUAUACAUACACCUGCUACGUUUACCUUUUGGAUUUUUUUGGAAGAACCUUUAUAUUGUGUCCAUGCCCUUUCGGGAUCCACUGCGCCCAUUAGUGUUAGGUGGCGACCACUCAAUAUCUUAUCCUGUUGUAAGAGCUGUCUCCGAGAAGCUUGUGGGACCUGUGGAUAUCUAUAAGCCCCUUGAAGGUAAUGAAUAUUCUCAUGCAGGUAAAUUCUCAUCUGUAAAUACAGUUUCCAGUUAGUUUGGAAAUGAAUAUUAGGCCAAAUUCAUGAAAGGAAAUGAUAUCUGUUUUAGCUUCACAUGAGCAUGCUCAUGAAAGGAAAUGAUGCUCAUGUUGGUUAUCUGUAUGUAUCAUUGCUGAUUUUCUCAAAAGCAUCACUUUGUGAGAAAAUUUAUAAACAUUCUUAACUGAUAAUAUUUGCACUUUUUUUCCCUGCAUUCAAAGAUUAUAAUCUUUUGUGUAGGGAGGCAGAGUGGCUCAUGUACAGUAUGCAAAUGA